GUAGGUGGCAAGCGUUGUCCGGAAUUAUUGGGCGUAAAGCGCGCGCAGGCGGUUUUUUAAGUCUGAUGUGAAAGCCCACGGCUCAACCGUGGAGGGUCAUUGGAAACUGGGGAACUUGAGUACAGAAGAGGAAAGCGGAAUUCCACGUGUAGCGGUGAAAUGCGUAGAGAUGUGGAGGAACACCAGUGGCGAAGGCGGCUUUCUGGUCUGUAACUGACGCUGAGGCGCGAGAGCGUGGGGAGCAAACAGGGAUUAGAUACCCUGGUAGUCCACGCCGUAAACGAUGAGUGCUAAGUGUUAGGGGGUUUCCCGCCCCUUAGUGCUGCAGCUAACGCAUUAAGCACUCCGCCUGGGGAGUACGGCCGCAAGGCUG
This 373-nucleotide ribosomal RNA is filed under the name uncultured organism. Its description in RNAcentral is "partial 16S ribosomal RNA". It matches the Rfam family "Bacterial small subunit ribosomal RNA", at positions 527 to 896 of the family's 1533-position model. The record is from RNAcentral.